UAUUGGGGUUAUUUACCCUCGGGACUUCGGUUAAAAACCAUUGCCCGAGCACACUGCUUAACAUAGAACUCUGCAUAAAAAGCCGAAAACGGCCAUAAAAUGGACAGCCCGAUUUUACUGGGCUGUACCAUUGGUAUAAAUAUAAAACUUUGCAGUGUUGGUGCGGUGCCUUAAUAAAAAUCUAUUGGUUUAAAAAUAUAUAACCUUUAUAUGAAGCGUUAAAAAGACGCAGUGCUAUACAGUGAAUAGGCCUAACGCGGUUAAAAAGCGGCGUUUUAAUUGGUUGAUGCGCUUAUAUAACGAUGGCGCUGAUUGGCCGAAAUUUCUUAUUAAGGAUUGCCAGUAGGUCAAUCCGUUUUAAAAUAGAUUUUCCCACGGCUGACUUUGUACUUUUAAGAAAAAGUAAACAAUGAUG
Molecule: long non-coding RNA, 415 nt
Organism: Dreissena polymorpha
Lineage: Eukaryota; Metazoa; Mollusca; Bivalvia; Myida; Dreissenidae
Exons: 2
Source: RefSeq, a predicted model, not a curated record